This 390-nucleotide unclassified non-coding RNA is filed under the name soil metagenome. RNAcentral's name for it is "partial contains 5.8S ribosomal RNA, internal transcribed spacer 2, and large subunit ribosomal RNA". The stretch from base 1 to 122 matches the Rfam family "5.8S ribosomal RNA", at positions 35 to 154 of the family's 154-position model. The record is from RNAcentral.
GAUGAAGAACGCAGCGAAAUGCGAUACUUGGUGUGAAUUGCAGAAUCCCGUGAACCAUCAAGUCUUUGAACGCAAGUUGCGCCCGAAGCCAUUAGGCCGAGGGCACGCCUGCCUGGGCGUCACACGUCGUUGCCCCCCCAUCUACUCCUUCGGGAUUGCGGGGGGCGGAUGAUGGCCUCUCGUGCGCCUCGUCGCGCGGUUGGCCUAAAUGCCAAGUCCUCGGCGACGCACGCCACGACAAUCGGUGGUUGCGAAACCUCGGUUGCCUGUCGUGUGCGGUCGUCGCGCAUCGAGGGCUCGAAAAAAUUGCCGGGCUUCGGCUCGACUUUCAACGCGACCCCAGGUCAGGCGGGGUUACCCGCUGAAUUUAAGCAUAUCAUAAGCGGAGGA